CCUACGGGGGGCAGCAGUGGGGAAUAUUGCACAAUGGGGGAAACCCUGAUGCAGCGACGCCGCGUGAGUGAAGAAGUAUUUCGGUACGUAAAGCUCUAUCAGCAGGGAAGAAAAAAAGUCCUUUGGACUUUGGACGGUACCUGAGUAAGAAGCCCCGGCUAACUACGUGCCAGCAGCCGCGGUAAUACGUAGGGGGCAAGCGUUAUCCGGAUUUACUGGGUGUAAAGGGAGCGUAGACGGCGAAGAAAGUCUGAAGUGAAAGCCCGCGGCUUAACCGCGGAACUGCUUUGGAAACUUUUUUGCUG
This 305-nucleotide ribosomal RNA is filed under the name uncultured bacterium. Its description in RNAcentral is "partial 16S ribosomal RNA". It matches the Rfam family "Bacterial small subunit ribosomal RNA", at positions 338 to 643 of the family's 1533-position model. The record is from RNAcentral.